RNAcentral lists this ribosomal RNA (524 nucleotides) under uncultured bacterium. RNAcentral describes it as "bacterial SSU rRNA". It matches the Rfam family "Bacterial small subunit ribosomal RNA", at positions 8 to 518 of the family's 1533-position model. The record is from RNAcentral.
AGAGUUUGAUUCUGGCUCAGGAUGAACGCUAGCUACAGGCUUAACACAUGCAAGUCGAGGGGCAUCAUGGAGUUUGCUUGCAAACUCUGAUGGCGACCGGCGCACGGGUGAGUAACGCGUAUCCAACCUUCCCUAUAGUAGAGGAUAGCCCGGCGAAAGUCGGAUUUAAUACUCUAUGUUUUCCGUUGCAGACAUCUAAGAUGGAACAAAGGCUUGCCGCUAUAGGAUGGGGGAUGCGUCUGAUUAGGUAGUCGGCGGGGUAACGGCCCACCGAGCCAUCGAUCAGUAGGGGUUCUGAGAGGAAGGUCCCCCACAUUGGAACUGAGACACGGUCCAAACUCCUACGGGAGGCAGCAGUGAGGAAUAUUGGUCAAUGGGCGAGAGCCUGAACCAGCCAAGUAGCCGUGCAGGACGACGGCCCUAUGGGUUGUAAACCUCUUUUGUUUGGGAAUAAAGUCACCCACGUGUGGGUGUUUGUAUGUACCAUACGAAUAAGCAUCGGCUAAUUCCGUGCCAGCCGCCGC